Molecule: long non-coding RNA, 2800 nt
Organism: Oncorhynchus tshawytscha (Chinook salmon)
Lineage: Eukaryota; Metazoa; Chordata; Actinopteri; Salmoniformes; Salmonidae
Source: Ensembl
UAUUACUGUUAUCGAAUAAAUUGCGCUUGUAGAACUGUGGUAUAAAAGCAAUAUCACACUCGAGGUCGUGCUGUUAUACUCGUACCUACGACCGAAUAACAGCCGUGCUGAUAUUCAGCACUCCCUCUCGUGUGAUAUUGCUUUUAACGGACGUACGUUCGUCACAUUAUCUAGCUACAUAAGGGAGGCCUAUAACUAAAAAGUCAAAGACGGUCCAAAUCUUUGAGUCAUCUAACAACACCAUGAAUGAAGAUGGAAUGGAUGACACGUAUCCAGGCAUGGAUCAUAUAUCAACCGCAGUAUUAAAAGCUGCUAAUAUAAGCACAGACGUGCUACCCAGCCUCUCUAAGGAGGAUUUACGUGAUCUCUUUCCCGGGCCAGAGCACUUCUUCAGAAGGAGAACCAUUUGGAGAUUUACUCAUGGUGAAAAUUAGGGUGAAGAAUCAGACCUGUGUAGACCAGGCACCUCCUCUGGGACCUGUGAUUUCAGCCCCACUCCCACCCCCCUUCUUCCACCCUCCUGUCCCCUCCAUCCCCCCACCCCUCUUCAAACCCAAGAGACCAACAUGGUGCCACCAGAACCGUACAGCUUGUCAGCCCACAGUAUGUCUUAUACACAAACACAGAGUUGGAGCAAUCAAGAAGCACCUUUUUUGAAAAACAGCGUGUUGGACAAGGAGACUAUAUCCUUUCCAAAGAUCUUCACUGUCGAUUAAUCAGGAAUACAGUAACAAGCAUGAUUUCCAUGAAGAGAGCAGCAGGGGAUGACUUCCAGUAUCCAUACAGCCGUGAACUCACUGUAAUGGCGAAGCGUCUCAUAGAGUACUACCCAAUGCUGCGGGACAGAUUUACAACUAGUGGAGCUGAGUGGGUAAGUCACUACUCAGGUAUUCAACACAUUUCCAAACGCAGCACUGUUGGAACCUGGCAGCCAAAGUGUAAACUCCCGACGAACAGGCAGGGGCGUGGGAGCCUGGCAAGCUGGCUGAGGCAUGAACGCCUGUCGAUCCCGCUGCGACGUGGAAGCCCGAUGAUCCGACGGAGACAUGACAGUCUGACGAGCCGGCUGGGUGAACAAUCCGGCUGAGGUCCAACUUGGGAUGGGCGCUUUUCGAGCCAACCGGGGAAAGGAAACCUCUCGAGCCAGCUAGGCGUGGAUGCCCGACGAGCUGGCUAGGCACGCCCAGUUCCAUUGGCGGCAACCCAGAACCGACGUCACCUCCAACUGGAAUGCCACUACUCCCUGAUGCUUCGUGUGACGGCUUCAGGAUUCUGUAAGGACCGACACCGGACAGGAGAAACAGGUACGGGGAGUCAAACAUUUAUUCAGGAAUGGGCAAAGAACAUGACAGGAACAGCAUCAGCACACGGGUAAAGAAGGACAUAUGACAAACAAUCCCGAAGCAGGGGUCAGAGCUAGGAAACUACACAAGUAAUUGAGUCCACGUGAGUCCAAUGAGCUCUGAUGCGCGUUACGGGGAAAGGCAGUGGUGUGUACUGAAAGUGGCUUGAGUGCGUAAUGUUGGGGAGUCUUGUACUCUCGAGCGCAAGAGGGAGGAAGAGCGGGAGCAGGCGUGACAGUCAGAGCCAGUGUAGUUGGAUUCAAUCUUAGUCCUGUAUUGACAUUUUGGCUGUUUGAUGGUUUGUCUGCGGGAAUAGUGGGAUUUCUUAGAAGUGUUGCUUGUAAUCCAUGGCUUCUGGUUGGCAUAUGUACCUACGUCUACCGUGGGGAUGACGUCGUCGAUGCACUUAUUGAUAAAGCUGGUGACUGAUGUGGUAUACUCCUUAAUGCCAUUCGAUGAAUCCUGGAACAUAUUCCAGUCUGUGCAAUCAAAAUAGUCCUGUAGCUUAGUAUCAGUGUCAAAAGACCACUUCCGUAUUGAGCGAGUCACUGGUACAUAGAAUUAUGUUCAGAUUUGUCAAAUGGAGGGCGAGGGAGAGCUUUGUACUUGUCUCUGUGUGUGGAGUAAAGGUGGUCUAGAGUUAUUUUUCCCCCUGGUUGCAUGUGACAUGAUGGUAGAAUUUAGGUAAAACGGAUUUACAUUUUCCUGCAUUAACGUCCCUGGACACUAGGAGCGGCACUUCUGGGUGAGCAUUCUCUUGUUUAUUUAUGGCCUUACACAGCUCGUUGAGUGAGGUCUUUGUGCCUGUAUCAUUUGUGGAGGUAAAUAGACAGCUAUGAGAAAUAUAGAUGAAAGCUCUCUUGGUAAAUCGUGUGGUCUACAACUUCUCAUGAGGUACUGUAUCUCAGGCAAGAUUGCGCAUCAGCUGAUAAUGACAAAUAGACACAGACCGCCAACCCUUGUAUUCCCGGAGGUUGCAGUUCUGUCUUGCCGAUGCACGGAAAAGCCAGCCAACUGUAUGUUAUCCAUGUCCUCGUUCAGCCACAACUCAGUGAAACAUAAGAUAUUACAGUUUUUAAUGUUAGGAUAGUCUCGAACCGAGGUCAUCAAGUUUAUUCUACAGUGAUUGCACCUUCGCCAGUAGGGCAAAUGGUAAAGGUGUCACCCCUGCCUGUUCGGGUGGUGCUCGGUGGUCGUCGUCGUCGCCGGUCUACUAGCCGCCACCGAUUCCUUUUUCCUUUUCUGUUAGUUUAGCCUUAUUAGUUGCACCUGUUCCUUUUUGUGUUGCUUGAUUUUUGUCUAUUUAAGCCUGUUAUGCCCGUUUAGGUUUGUGCAGGAUUAUUUUGUUCUGUCGGUUGUGGAUGUGUUCUCGUUGUUGUUUUCUCCGGACUGUUUGUCCUGUGUUUGGGCUGGUCAGUGUUAUACGCCCUGUAAUUUGGCGAGACCGUUUUGUGCCG